AAUUGACGGGGGCCCGCACAAGCGGUGGAGCAUGUGGUUUAAUUCGAUGCAACGCGAAGAACCUUACCUGGCCUUGACAUCCACGGAAUUCGGCAGAGAUGCCUUAGUGCCUUCGGGAACCGUGAGACAGGUGCUGCAUGGCUGUCGUCAGCUCGUGUUGUGAAAUGUUGGGUUAAGUCCCGCAACGAGCGCAACCCUUAUCCUUUGUUGCCAGCGAGUAAUGUCGGGAACUCAAAGGAGACUGCCGGUGACAAACCGGAGGAAGGUGGGGAUGACGUCAAGUCAUCAUGGCCCUUACGGCCAGGGCUACACACGUGCUACAAUGGCGCAUACAAAGAGAAGCGAACUCGCGAGAGCAAGCGGACCUCACAAAGUGCGUCGUAGUCCGGAUCGGAGUCUGCAACUCGACUCCGUGAAGUCGGAAUCGCUAGUAAUCGUAGAUCAGAAUGCUACG
RNAcentral lists this ribosomal RNA (454 nucleotides) under Erwinia sp. BE7. RNAcentral describes it as "bacterial SSU rRNA". It matches the Rfam family "Bacterial small subunit ribosomal RNA", at positions 908 to 1361 of the family's 1533-position model. The record is from RNAcentral. Lineage: Bacteria; Pseudomonadati; Pseudomonadota; Gammaproteobacteria; Enterobacterales; Erwiniaceae.